CACCCUUGCCAUACUACCCUGAAUGCGCCCGAUCCCAUCUGAUCUCGGAAGCUAAGCAGGGUCAGGUCUGGUUAGUACUUGGAUGGGAGACUCUCUCUCACCCAGGUCCUGCUGUCC
Molecule: ribosomal RNA, 117 nt
Organism: Ophiophagus hannah (king cobra)
Lineage: Eukaryota; Metazoa; Chordata; Lepidosauria; Squamata; Elapidae
Source: Rfam